UGUAAUGAUAUGCCCACACACCAUUAUAAUAAACUAAAAUCUUACAGAAUAAUAAAUAACGGCCAGACUGUUGUUUGUAGAAAUCGGUCACAUCAAAUAAAACCAUUAUCAACGACAAUUAAGAUAUUGGCAUGCAGUUAUGACGUUAUAACGUGUGACUUUAUUUUAUGAUGCCGCUAGAGAAAAGGAAAGAAAAAAUAAAGGAUGAUGCCGCCAAAGAAUAAUCUAGUUCCCAGGCUCACGAUAACUUGUUGAUAAAGUCACCUACCACUCUCUGGUCUGCGUCUUCGCGUCGUCUCUUAGACCAGUGCAUGAGCACCAGUCACCGAGCAACAACGUCCAAAAGUCUUAAAACCGAUUUCAACGAGCGAUACUCUAGGCCCCUUAUGUGAGCAAUAAUCAGUGCGUUUAUUAUUUCGAUUUAUACCCUUUUUUUAAAACAUUAUUCUGUGUAUAUAAAAAAAAACUCUACAAGAUAAUUUACAGGCGACUACGGAUCAGGGUGAGUGGUGUUCUACAGGAGAACCACAUAACAAAGUACUGUUACUUGAUGAUAACGGGAAAGAAGCAAAUGAAAGGAUAGUGAUGUUUGCAACACAUGGAAGGCUUGUCAAUUUAACAAGUUCUUUGAGAUGGUAUAUAGAUGGGAACUUUGCUUUGGCUCCAAAACUAUUUACACAACUGUAUAUUAUACGUGUAGAAAUAAAUAAAAGUUUUACAACAGCGGUAUAUAUACUCUUACAGAAUAAACUUUGAUUACUAAUAACUAAA
Acyrthosiphon pisum (pea aphid) is the source of this 771-nucleotide long non-coding RNA. RefSeq lists it as uncharacterized. The transcript is spliced from 2 exons. The record is from RefSeq and is a predicted model, not a curated record. NCBI's taxonomy places the organism in Eukaryota, Metazoa, Arthropoda, Insecta, Hemiptera, Aphididae.